AUGAGACAGCGACAGAGAGAGAGGAGUAAACGUGUGACCUCUGCAGGGAGUCGCCAAAAAUCAAAGGUCGAGGACGUCACGCUCUAGUAAUCUGUCGGGGGGGCGAUGGGACACGAGCCCAACCACGGAUCAAGGAAUUCUUUAUCACCUUCUUUGACACGACUUGAUACAAAUUAACACGAAGGUUUGGCCUCGGCGCAGGUUUCCAGUUUCCUGAGAGCGAUACCAGUUCCUACUCUGACCCUGGAACUGGUCCUGGUCCAAACUGGGACAACAUCCCACCUGUUGCUUCAGCACACUCAUUAAUAAUUCAACGAAAGCUGUUUGUUUUUUAUCCUGUGUCCUCUUUAACUAUUGAACUGUGAGGCCAAGUCGAUGUGAUAAACAACUUGCACAACCGUUUUUUUCAUGUGUCAAAUAAUAUGGGAACACGUUGUGCGACACGUGUGUCAUGUUGCAGAGGUGUCACGUUUUUAUUUGAUUGUCUAACUGUGAAAUAUCUGUGGAUGUCCUGGUUGGUUUGGUUUGUUGGAACCGAUGAAGCAACGUGAGGAGCAAGGAGCCUUCUAUGAACGAGACACUUAGAGAGAGGGAGGGAAAAACCCGUCAGCACGGUAUCAUCUGAAUUUCACCUGAUCAGGAAACUGACAAGAAACAAAAGAGGCUGCAAGAAAAAAACGAGCUUCAAACCAAAGAACAGUUUGAUUCUGUGUCAAACAACGUGACGCGGAGCCACAGGCCAACCCCACCUGUCAUCGCCCGGGAGCGUCACAAGUAUCUCUAACUUACAUCGAGCAGGAGGAGCGAGUGCCAGGAACAUCGUGUUCUCCCCUCGUGAGAUAUGAUCUGCAUCUUCUCCUUUAAAUAGGUCAGAGUUGGUUGGAAGGAGGUGGGAAGGUAAGUUGUUAAGUAGGUGGAUAAGACCACACGACAAGUUUCCUCAGACCUGAUGUUUUAAUCACUUUAUUUCAGAAAAUAUAGAUAACAUUGAUAUAAAGAUAUGUUUCAAUCAAUCAUGUUUCCUUUGGAAUAUGUACAAUUGGUUUUAGGCAGCUAUUAGUCCAUCAUAUUACAGUACUGAACAAUUGAUCAAGUAGGUAUGUUUACAAUUUAAGUAAAAUUCAAUCCAGGUUUGUUUUUUCCCCUUAACUUAACGUUUGUGUCUUUUCACCUGCACUAUUUGAUGAGAAGGGAAGUUUUGGGGGGAUUUCCAUGAUUCUUGAGAAAACGACAAUAUAGAAAUUUCACUUCUCUCAGAAUUGUAGAAAGAGGACUUGUGUGAUUUGCAGAUUAUUGUCAGCUUCUCCGCUGGAAGUCGUGUGUUUCCAUCAAGAGCCGAGAUGAUCAACAUGUACGAAUCCAAACAACCAAUGAAGUCAGCUCGAGAGUCUGAUGGAAAAAUAAACAUGUCGAGCUGAUGUCUGCAGCCAAAGAUAACACAAUAUGUCAUCGCCAUUGUGUAUCAACCCGCCCAAAUCAACUCAUGCAAGUGAUGGUUAGUUAGUGAUGCUUUUCAGACAUGCCCUUGUUAUAGGGUUAAACUCGUAUAUCUAUUUCAUUUUCUUCUUGUUUGACAGAUGUAUUAACACACUACUGACACAGGGGGGAUCGUUGUGGGCCGUAGGUCGAGGUAAAGUGGUUCGACCACUAACCAGAAGGUCUGUGGUUCAGUCCCUGUCCCCAGAUUGUCCCUGACAACUGUGUCGGCAGUGUGUGAACAAUGCAUGAUAGAAAACCACAGGAAGUGUCGACUUGAACAGUUCAAACUAAAGCUCUGAAUCUAAUGUGUUGUUUUGUGAGUCUGUUCACUUGAGGUUGUGUUUAUGGUUAACACAACACGUGCAUCCAAUCACAUGUACUUUACAUACAUGCAUGUGUAUAUGCACACAGGUGUUUAUACAUAAAAACAUGCUUGAACACAUAUACUUACACAUGCAAACACACUGAUACACAUUUAGUAUUUUAUGAAAAAGAUAAACAACUUGAUUCUGAUUUAUCUUUCACUCAAAGUUUGAUCCACUGUCACAACCUAUUUUAUUUGAUUCAGUUCUCAGUGUGUUGGAUUCAGUGCCAUCUAGUGGUGAAAAGUCACGUUGCAGCUGAACACCCCUCACCUCCCCCCUCCCCUUCCCAACAUGUAAUGGAAACUGUGGUAACCUUCAGUUGUCAUACAAACUCAAAAGGUUUAGUUUGUCCUGUUUGGACGAGUGUGAAAAAACAUGGCGGCCUCCGUAGAGAGGACCUUCUCCUGAUGUGAAUAUAAAGUAUUUUAAUAUAAAGUACUUAAAUACAAAGUACUUAAAUACAAGGGUUCAUUUAAGGUAAAGAAAACAGUUUUCAUUUUAGAUGAAAACACCACUAGAAUUAUUUCAUAUUCAAUUUCUCUAAAUCCUACACACUGCACCUUUAAAUUCUUUGCUAUGUGUGAUGUGCACUUCAUUUAUUUGAUUUGUUUGGGGAGGUGGGUGGGGCGGUAAGGUGUUUUGUAGCCUUGUUGUUUUUGUGUCAUCUAUGCAAGUACAAAGUAUGUGUAGUAUUUGUUGUGAAGUACAAUGUACACGUGAAAUAAAGCGAGUAGAGGUGCA
Molecule: long non-coding RNA, 2585 nt
Organism: Pleuronectes platessa (European plaice)
Lineage: Eukaryota; Metazoa; Chordata; Actinopteri; Pleuronectiformes; Pleuronectidae
Exons: 2
Source: RefSeq, a predicted model, not a curated record